RNAcentral lists this ribosomal RNA (744 nucleotides) under uncultured Actinomyces sp. RNAcentral's name for it is "bacterial SSU rRNA". It matches the Rfam family "Bacterial small subunit ribosomal RNA", at positions 28 to 772 of the family's 1533-position model. Lineage: Bacteria; Bacillati; Actinomycetota; Actinomycetes; Actinomycetales; Actinomycetaceae. The record is from RNAcentral.
GACGAACGCUGGCGGCGUGCUUAACACAUGCAAGUCGAACGCCGAAGCCCAGCUUGCUGGGUGGAUGAGUGGCGAACGGGUGAGUAACACGUGAGUAACCUGCCCCCUUCUUUGGGAUAACGCCCGGAAACGGGUGCUAAUACUGGAUACUCACUGGCUUUCGCAUGGGGGUUGGUGGAAAGGUUUUUUCUGGUGGGGGAUGGGCUCGCGGCCUAUCAGCUUGUUGGUGGGGUGAUGGCCUACCAAGGCUUUGACGGGUAGCCGGCCUGAGAGGGUGACCGGUCACAUUGGGACUGAGAUACGGCCCAGACUCCUACGGGAGGCAGCAGUGGGGAAUAUUGCACAAUGGGCGAAAGCCUGAUGCAGCGACGCCGCGUGAGGGAUGACGGCCUUCGGGUCGUAAACCUCUUUCGCUCAUGGUCAAGCCGCAGCUUUGGGUUGUGGUGAGGGUAGUGGGUAAAGAAGCGCCGGCUAACUACGUGCCAGCAGCCGCGGUAAUACGUAGGGCGCGAGCGUUGUCCGGAAUUAUUGGGCGUAAAGGGCUUGUAGGCGGUUGGUCGCGUCUGCCGUGAAGUCCUCUGGCUUAACUGGGGGGCGUGCGGUGGUUACGGGCUGACUUGAGUGCGGUAGGGGAGACUGGAACUCCUGGUGUAGCGGUGGAAUGCGCAAAAAUCAGGAAUAAACCGGUGGCGAAGGCGGUCUCUGGGCCGUUACUGACGCUCAGGAGCAAAGCUGGUGAACAAU